RNAcentral lists this ribosomal RNA (480 nucleotides) under uncultured bacterium. RNAcentral describes it as "partial 16S ribosomal RNA". It matches the Rfam family "Bacterial small subunit ribosomal RNA", at positions 28 to 507 of the family's 1533-position model. The record is from RNAcentral.
GAUGAACGCUGGCGGCGUGCUUAACACAUGCAAGUCGAACGGAACUACUCCAAUGAGAGUCUUCGGAAAGGAUUUGGUUUAGUUUAGUGGCGGACGGGUGAGUAACGCGUGGGUAACCUGCCCUAUACAGGGGGAUAACAGUUGGAAACGACUGUUAAUACCGCAUAAGCGCCCAGGAGCGCAUGCUCCGGUGUGAAAAACUCCGGUGGUAUAGGAUGGACCCGCGUCUGAUUAGCUGGUUGGCGGGGUAACGGCGCACCAAGGCGACGAUCAGUAGCCGGCAUGAGAGGGUGAACGGCGACAUUGGGACUGAGACACGGCCCAAACUCCUACGGGAAGCAGCAGUGGGUAAUACUGCACAAUGGGGGAAAUCCUGAUGCAGCGACGCCGCGUGAGCGAAGAAGUAGCUCGGUAUGUAAAGCUCUAUAAGCAGGGAAGAAAAUGACGGUACCUGACUAAGAAGCCCCGGCUAACUACGUG